UCGGCUAUACUGUUUUAAAAAAUUAUUUUAAAAUGGAGAAGAUUUUGUUUUUAUAAAAGAAUUUCAAAAACAUGAAAUUAGUUUCUUUACUUUUGUUUUUUUCCCUACUUCUUUAAUUCAAUAUGUGCAAUUAUGUAAUGCCAUUACUAAUUAAAGUAAUGGUAUUUUAUUUAUUAUUCAAUACCCAAAAAAAAAUUAUAGAAAGUCCACAAAAUAGUUAAUUUCUAUUUACUAAGUCUUUUGUGAAAUCGUUUGGGUGUCCUAAUUAAUUGUCUCCAUUGCCCAAGAGCCC
RNAcentral lists this long non-coding RNA (292 nucleotides) under Prunus persica (peach). Its description in RNAcentral is "long non-coding RNA (PPER_LNC008698)". Lineage: Eukaryota; Viridiplantae; Streptophyta; Magnoliopsida; Rosales; Rosaceae. The record is from RNAcentral.